UGUGCAGAAGGAUCCUGUUGUGGCGUUUGCUUUGCUGAGAAGCAAAUCUGUCAUUAAUUUUGGCAGUCCAUGUUGGAACCAUCUCAUGAAGAUCACCUGCUAAUUUUUAGCUUCUCCUUGGUGGCUCCUGGCACAAUUUAACCUCAGAUCUUUGACCAGCUAUGAGUCUGUGCACGAACUGCUGCUUACUGAAAAAUAAGGUCUCCUUGCUCAAGGAUGAGAGCAGCAUUCAUUUACGGAAAGAAUUGCUGGCACAGCUGCCUGAGUAGAAAGGAUCGCUUUCAGCAAGCUCAGCUAUUCACCAUGGCAGUCAUUCAUCGCUAUGAAGAAAUACAUUGAGUGCCUAUUUAUAUGUCCUUUAUGGCUUUGGUCUGAAUGGGAAAGAGUGUGCUAUAGAAGGCUGGUAACCAGAGACAGGUAAGAGUGUUCUUGAGCUCCUCCUAUUGGCCUAAGACAGAGGCAUACAUCAAAAAGCUGUUUGUUUUCCCUGACAGUAGCAAUAUAGCCACUGACCUAAGAUAGGCACGGUCACCUAGCCAUCCUUUACAGGAUUAUGGAAAACAAGUAAAUCUUGUCCCCCUCUAUCCCUCGCCUCCAGCUCAUCCUUAAAAAACAAAAAAUGGGGAAUUGUGCCCUUCCCCCAGCCUUGAGUAGGCUAAAUAUAUCUUAAGUGCUUGCCACAGUUGGACCUUAAGGACCCAAGUGGAGUCUUUCCCCUUGCCACAUCUGCAAUUUCCUAUAGGACCCUUGAGGAACUGGUUGCCUGCUGAGCUUGCUUUGCAACAUAAUCCAGCUGCGCCAAAGGAUGGGGUCUGUGGGGUUUCCCUAUAUAAAUGCAGUGCUGAAUAUUAAACUUUGAUCCUUGAUCAGAAACUUUGUCUUGGCUUCAUCCUUC
Molecule: long non-coding RNA, 895 nt
Organism: Mus musculus (house mouse)
Lineage: Eukaryota; Metazoa; Chordata; Mammalia; Rodentia; Muridae
Product: predicted gene, 39196
Exons: 3
Source: RefSeq, a predicted model, not a curated record